GCCUAACGUAGUAUCCAUAGCGUUGCCUGCUAUAUCUUACCCAUGUCUUUUGAGUACCUUACGUUUCCUCGGCGGGUCCGCCCGCCGAUUGGACAAUUUAAACCAUUUGCAGUUGCAAUCAGCGUCUGAAAAAACUUAAUAGUUACAACUUUCAACAACGGAUCUCUUGGUUCUGGCAUCGAUGAAGAACGCAGCGAAAUGCGAUAAGUAGUGUGAAUUGCAGAAUUCAGUGAAUCAUCGAAUCUUUGAACGCACAUUGCGCCCCUUGGUAUUCCAUGGGGCAUGCCUGUUCGAGCGUCAUUUGUACCUUCAAGCUCUGCUUGGUGUUGGGUGUUUGUCUCGCCUCUGCGUGUAGACUCGCCUCAAAACAAUUGGCAGCCGGCGUAUUGAUUUCGGAGCGCAGUACAUCUCGCGCUUUGCACUCAUAACGACGACGUCCAAAAGUACAUUUUUACACUCUUGACCUCGGAUCAGGUAGGGAUACCCGCUGAACUUAAGCAUAUCAAUAAGCGGAGGAAA
This 519-nucleotide ribosomal RNA is filed under the name Phoma sp. HL0228S. RNAcentral's name for it is "eukaryotic LSU rRNA". The stretch from base 147 to 300 matches the Rfam family "5.8S ribosomal RNA". The record is from RNAcentral. Lineage: Eukaryota; Fungi; Ascomycota; Dothideomycetes; Pleosporales; Didymellaceae.